CUCUUCUUGUGAAUUUUUUGAAGUAUAGUCUGCCCACUGAUUAUAUUGAAGGGCCGCGGUAUUUUGACCGUGCAAAGGUAGCAUAAUCAUUAGUUUUUUAAUUGUAAACUGGUAUGAAUGGCUUGACGAGGCAUUAUCUGUCUUUAUAGGAUUUUGUUAUUGAAUUUGGUUUUUGGGUAAAAAUACCUAGAUUCUGUUAUGGGACGAGAAGACCCUAUAGAGUUUUAUGUAACUUUCUUUUCUUUAGUUUGUCUUGAUUUUUUAGUUUAUGUUACAUUUUGUUGGGGUGAUGGGAGAGUAAAUUAAACUUCUCCUUAUUUGUAAUUCACUUAUUUGUGUCUUCUUGAUCCUUUAUUAUUGAUUAUAAGAUUAAAUUACC
This 379-nucleotide ribosomal RNA is filed under the name Neotermes holmgreni. Its description in RNAcentral is "partial large subunit ribosomal RNA". The record is from RNAcentral. Lineage: Eukaryota; Metazoa; Arthropoda; Insecta; Blattodea; Kalotermitidae.